UCCAUCCACAUGUAGAAUCCAUGCAGGCUUCGGAGUCUCUUUUUGAAAUAGAUCCUCGACUUGACUAUCGUUAGUUGGCAUGCAUUCGACAAUAAAAUCGGCAAGUAUUUGAGCCUUCAUUGAGGAUUGUGGGACAUAAGAAAGAUUGAACUUGCUAAGUUUGACCAUCCAUUUGGCCAUUCUUCUCGAAGUAUCUGACCAUUGGAGUAGAGUCCUUAGGGGG
RNAcentral lists this long non-coding RNA (223 nucleotides) under Elaeis guineensis (African oil palm). RNAcentral's name for it is "long non-coding RNA (EGUI_LNC058279)". The record is from RNAcentral. Lineage: Eukaryota; Viridiplantae; Streptophyta; Magnoliopsida; Arecales; Arecaceae.